RNAcentral lists this ribosomal RNA (253 nucleotides) under uncultured bacterium. RNAcentral's name for it is "partial 16S ribosomal RNA". It matches the Rfam family "Bacterial small subunit ribosomal RNA", at positions 524 to 776 of the family's 1533-position model. The record is from RNAcentral.
UACGUAGGCAGCAAGCGUUGUUCGGAGUUACUGGGCGUAAAGGGUGUGUAGGCGGUUCUUUAAGUUUGGUGUGAAAUCUCCCGGCUCAACUGGGAGGGUGCGCCGAAUACUGAGGGACUAGAGUACGGGAGAGGAAAGUGGAAUUCUUGGUGUAGCAGUGAAAUGCGUAGAUAUCAAGAGGAACACCAGUGGCGAAGGCGAGUCCCUGGACAACACCUGACACUGAGGCACGAAAGCUAGGGGAGCAAACAGG